Molecule: ribosomal RNA, 250 nt
Filed under: uncultured bacterium
Lineage: Bacteria
Description: partial 16S ribosomal RNA
Rfam family: Bacterial small subunit ribosomal RNA
Source: RNAcentral
UACGUAGGGGGCGAGCGUUGUCCGGAUUUACUGGGCGUAAAGGGUGCGUAGGCGGCCCUGCAAGUCAGAUGUCAAAGGCUUCGGCUUAACCGAGGUAAGCAUUUGAAACUGUAGGGCUUGAGUGCAGGAGAGGAGAGUGGAAUUCCUAGUGUAGCGGUGAAAUGCGUAGAUAUUAGGAGGAACACCAGUGGCGAAGGCGACUCUCUGGACUGUAACUGACGCUGAGGCACGAAAGCGUGGGGAGCAAACA